This 849-nucleotide small RNA is filed under the name Pongo abelii (Sumatran orangutan). Its description in RNAcentral is "retained intron". The record is from RNAcentral. Lineage: Eukaryota; Metazoa; Chordata; Mammalia; Primates; Hominidae.
AGUAACCUUGGCCAUGGACCAGCCGGCUGGCCUGCAGGUGGACUACGUCUUCCGGGGUGUGGAGCAUGCCGUGCGGGUGAUGGUUUCUGGGCAGGUGCUGGAGCUGGAGGUGGAGGACCGGAUGACGGCUGACCAGUGGCGGGGCGAGUUUGAUGCUGGCUUCAUUGAAGAUUUGACUCACAAGACAGGGAACUUCAAACAGUUCAACAUCUUCUGUCAUAUGCUGGAGUCAGCCCUCACUCAGAGUAGUGAGUCAGUCACCCUGGACCUGCUGACCUACACAGACCUGGAGUCCCUGCGGAACCGCAAGAUGGGGGGCCGCCCAGGCUCCUUGGCCCCCAGAUCGGCCCAGCUCAACUCCAAGCGCUACCUGAUUCUCAUCUACUCCGUGGAGUUUGACAGGAUUCACUACCCGCUGCCCCUCCUAUACCAGGGCAAGCCAGACCCCGUGGUUCUGCAGGGCAUCAUCCGGUCACUGAAGGAGGAACUGGGCCGCCUGCAAGGGCUGGAUGGCCAGAACACUCGGGACACCCGGGAGAAUGAGAUCUGGCACCUGCGGGAGCAGGUGUCGCGCCUGGCGUCCGAGAAGCGGGAGCUGGAGGCGCAGCUGGGCCGAUCGCGCGAGGAGGCGCUGGCCGGGCGCGCGGCGCGCCAGGAGGCCGAGGCGCUGCGCGGGCUGGUGCGCGGGCUGGAGCUGGAGCUACGGCAGGAGCGCGGCCUCGGGCACAGGGUGGCCGGCCGUCGCGGCCAGGACUGCCGCCGUCUGGCCAAGGAGGUGAGCAGCGGGGGCCUAGGGCGGCCAGCGAGGCGCGGACCUCGGCCUCAGCCUGGACCUCCGCGCCUCUCUCC